RNAcentral lists this ribosomal RNA (439 nucleotides) under uncultured bacterium. Its description in RNAcentral is "partial 16S ribosomal RNA". It matches the Rfam family "Bacterial small subunit ribosomal RNA", at positions 339 to 795 of the family's 1533-position model. The record is from RNAcentral.
CUACGGGUCGCUGCAGUGAGGAAUAUUGGACAAUGGGCGCAAGCCUGAUCCAGCCAUGCCGCGUGAGUGAUGAAGGCCCUAGGGUUGUAAAGCUCUUUCAGUGGGGAAGAUAAUGACGGUACCCACAGAAGAAGCCCCGGCUAACUUCGUGCCAGCAGCCGCGGUAAUACGAAGGGGGCUAGCGUUGUUCGGAAUUACUGGGCGUAAAGCGCGCGUAGGCGGAUUGUUAAGUUGGGGGUGAAAUCCCGAGGCUCAACCUCGGAACUGCCUUCAAUACUGGCAAUCUUGAGUCCGGAAGAGGUGAGUGGAACUCCUAGUGUAGAGGUGAAAUUCGUAGAUAUUAGGAAGAACACCAGUGGCGAAGGCGGCUCACUGGUCCGGUACUGACGCUGAGGUGCGAAAGCGUGGGGAGCAAACAGGAUUAGAUACCCUUGUAGUC